GAUGAACGCUGGCGGCGUGCCUAAUACAUGCAAGUCGAGCGAACAGACGAGGAGCUUGCUCCUCUGACGUUAGCGGCGGACGGGUGAGUAACACGUGGAUAACCUACCUAUAAGACUGGGAUAACUUCGGGAAACCGGAGCUAAUACCGGAUAAUAUAUUGAACCGCAUGGUUCAAUAGUGAAAGACGGUUUUGCUGUCACUUAUAGAUGGAUCCGCGCCGCAUUAGCUAGUUGGUAAGGUAACGGCUUACCAAGGCAACGAUGCGUAGCCGACCUGAGAGGGUGAUAGGCCACACGGGAACUGAGACACGGUCAAGACUCCUACGGGAGGCAGCAGUAGGGAAUCUUCCGCAAAGGGCGAAAGCCUGACGGAGCAACGCCGCGUGAGUGAUGAAGGUCUUCGGAUCGUAAAACUCUGUUAUUAGGGAAGAACAAAUGUGUAAGUAACUAUGCACGUCUUGACGGUACCUAAUCAGAAAGCCACGGCUAACUACGUG
Molecule: ribosomal RNA, 497 nt
Filed under: uncultured bacterium
Lineage: Bacteria
Description: partial 16S ribosomal RNA
Rfam family: Bacterial small subunit ribosomal RNA
Source: RNAcentral